This 74-nucleotide transfer RNA is filed under the name Rugosimonospora africana. RNAcentral's name for it is "tRNA-Arg". It matches the Rfam family "tRNA". From Rfam's summary of the family: Transfer RNA (tRNA) molecules are approximately 80 nucleotides in length. Lineage: Bacteria; Bacillati; Actinomycetota; Actinomycetes; Micromonosporales; Micromonosporaceae. The record is from RNAcentral.
GCGCUCGUAGCUCAGUGGAUAGAGCAGGAGACUUCUAAUCUCAAGGUCGCAGGUUCGAAUCCUGCCGGGCGCAC